UGAAUCACUAAGUUUCAAUAGAGGGAUAUUGAUUUUAGUGGGAGUAGAUUCUGUUAAAAUAGUUUAAUGUGAUUUGCUCUAUCAUGGAUACGUUUGUCUUAGUGUAUUUUGCAUUACAUUGUUGUAGAUUAAAUGGCACCUAGCAGCACUACACCGUUUGCUUUGCGUUCGGUCCUUGAGAAGGACAAGUUGAAUGGAACAAAUUACUCGGAUUGGAUCCGUAACUUGAGAAUUGUUCUCAGGGCUGAGAAAAAGGAAGAUGUUCUAGACAACCCACUACCAGAAGAACCUGCUGAUGAUGCACCCGCUGCUGCUAAGAAUGCUU
Molecule: long non-coding RNA, 325 nt
Filed under: Setaria viridis
Lineage: Eukaryota; Viridiplantae; Streptophyta; Magnoliopsida; Poales; Poaceae
Description: long non-coding RNA (SVIR_LNC007078)
Source: RNAcentral